GCAGAAGGAUCAUUAGUGAAGAUUUGGGCAGGCCAUACGGACGCCAAAAAAGUGUCCCUGGCCGCCUACACCCACUAUACAUCCACAAACCCGUGUGCACUGUCUUGGAGAAAGGCUUCUUGAGAAGUUUUGUGGCCUCUCUUGGGGUCUUUCUUCGCUACAAACUCGAAUGGUUAGUAUGAACGUGGAACUUGGUUGGACCGUCACUGGCCAACAAACUAUACACAACUUUCGACAACGGAUCUCUUGGUUCUCCCA
Molecule: unclassified non-coding RNA, 258 nt
Filed under: uncultured fungus
Lineage: Eukaryota; Fungi
Description: partial contains 18S rRNA, ITS1, 5.8S rRNA
Source: RNAcentral